UCUCUGUGGAGCUGUUGAGUUUUCUCCUUCCUGGAGGUGGCAGGAUCUUCCAUUCAUUCUGACAGCAGCCCACAUACAGACACCCAUCUAGCUUUGGAAGGUGGGCUGAGACCCAGGGUGAACAUGCCAGCUAAUGAGACAUUACUCCAGAGGUUCUCUGCCUUGGUUCCGGGACAACCUGACAGAUCAUUUAAGCCAUCUGUGUAGAUUGCUCAUCAUCACCUGCCGUGAACACCGUGAAAACCAUGCUGCUCCUCCUGGCCAAUGUGAUGGCGACCUGAAUGGUGCCCAGGAAUCACAGCAUCACUCCCCUCUCCUCUGCUGUCUGUUAUAAGGACAUUUGUCAUUGGAUUUAGGGUCCGCCCAGUGUACCAACAGGAUUUGCCCCGAAGAAAAUUUGUGUAUAGCCACGGAGGCUGCAAUGGCCACUGACCCUCUGCAGUUCGUGCUUCGGGACCUGCAGGAACUCCAUCUUGUCCUGCAGGCCUAAUUGAGUCUUCAAAAGGCCAUUCCACCAUUCUAUCAAGCCAGCUGCUUCGGGAUGGUGGGGAACAUGAUUGUUGUUACAGGGAUCUGUAUCUUUCGAGGAUGUGGCUGUGGAUUUUACCCGACAGGAGUGGCACAGACUGGACCCUGCUCAGAGGACCAUGCACAAGGAUGUGAUGCUGGAGAACUACAGCAACCUGGCAUCUGUGGCUCAUGAAGAUGCACCUUCCUCCUCCAUCAGAGGCCCUAAAGCUCAGACAACCUGGCCCAUGUCCUGUGCCAUUUCCCAUUAACAGGCCUCUGCGUGGCCAAACCAGAGAUGAUCUUCAAGUUGGAGCGAGGCGAAGAGCUGUGGAUAUUAGGGGAGGAAUCCUCAGGCCAUGGUUACCCAGGUGAGUGAGCAAGAACUGGGCAUAUGGAUAACGGGAGAUGAGAGCCCAGGAAUUCAGG
Molecule: RNA transcript, 936 nt
Organism: Myotis daubentonii (Daubenton's bat)
Lineage: Eukaryota; Metazoa; Chordata; Mammalia; Chiroptera; Vespertilionidae
Gene: ZNF157
Gene name: KRAB box domain containing 4
Exons: 5
Source: RefSeq, a predicted model, not a curated record